GAUGAACGCUGGCGGCGUGCCUAAUACAUGCAAGUCGAGCGAACGGACGAGAAGCUUGCUUCUCUGAUGUUAGCGGCGGACGGGUGAGUAACACGUUGAUAACCUACCUAUAAGACUGGGAUAACUUCGGGAAACCGGAGCUAAUACCGGAUAAUAUUUUGAACCGCAUGGUUCAAAAGUGAAAGACGGUCUUUCUGUCACUUAUAGAUGGAUCCGCGCUGCAUUAGCUAGUUGGUAAGGUAACGGCUUACCAAGGCAACGAUGCAUAGCCGACCUGAGAGGGUGAUCGGCCACACUGGAACUGAGACACGGUCCAGACUCCUACGGGAGGCAGCAGUAGGGAAUCUUCCGCAAUGGGCGAAAGCCUGACGGAGCAACGCCGCGUGAGUGAUGAAGGUCUUCGGAUCGUAAAACUCUGUUAUUAGGGAAGAACAUAUGUGUAAGUAACUGUGCACAUCUUGACGGUACCUAAUCAGAAAGCCACGGCUAACUACGUG
RNAcentral lists this ribosomal RNA (497 nucleotides) under uncultured bacterium. RNAcentral describes it as "partial 16S ribosomal RNA". It matches the Rfam family "Bacterial small subunit ribosomal RNA", at positions 28 to 507 of the family's 1533-position model. The record is from RNAcentral.